RNAcentral lists this long non-coding RNA (1192 nucleotides) under Homo sapiens (human). RNAcentral's name for it is "HSALNT0394503". The record is from RNAcentral. Lineage: Eukaryota; Metazoa; Chordata; Mammalia; Primates; Hominidae.
CUCUGUCAUAAUCUGGAAUGAUGAUAUCAAUCAAGUGAAGCAGCUAUCACAGGGUCUGGAACAUAGUACAUCCCAGCCUUCUUGCACAUAGAAACACUACACAGCACUUCAGCUGUAUGUUUGGGGGCCAUUUUAAACAGCAAAAUCAUCAACAGGAAGCAGAAAAUUGUAAAAAUUGUGGCACUAAAUAGACCAUGUAAAGGACACAUGUUUGCAAUAAGAAAGCUGAAACAAGAAGGGGGAGUGUCACCUUAUUUGAUCCAGCUAGAAACUCAGGUGCUGGUAUUCCAGCAACACUCAGGCGGCUGCUCCAGGAGGCUGCAGAGGGGUCCUUUUUAGCCGUCAACAAAACUGGCUAUGGUCACGCCCAUUGGGAAACUCAUUGCUGCCUUCAAGUUAGGUUCUGUCAAUAGAAGAUACUAAAGAAAGAAAGCCAGGAGAAGAAAAGGGACUUCUUUCUUCAAGGUCUAAGCUGUUCUAAUAGCAUUAUUCUGGGAAUGGCAUCUUCCACUCCUCCUAGUACAAAGAACCUGCUUCCUCAUACCCCGUCAAGGAACUGCAGCAUCCAGGUGAUGGCCACAGUGGCAGAACCUAGGAAGCCAAGAAGAAACCAGAGAAUGGAGACACAUGGCAGCAAUGGCAAGUCAUCAGACCCAGGAUUUCCCAAAGAACACUGGUCCAGGAAGAUGCUCUGUGAAAAAGUGUUCCCUGGUCGGAGAAAUUUGUGAAACACUUUGCAUAAUACUUAAAAGAAUGUAUGGCACAUCAAAGAUCUUAUAACAGUCUCCGCAGGAAGCAGCUGCAGUCAUUAGCCAUAGGACAGACUAAACACACAAUCUGCAUGGAAGGAGGCCUGGAUCAGCUUGGUCUUUCAGAUCUCUAAUCUCAGGCACAGGAAAGCACCAUCAACAGCACCCUUUGUAUAUAUACAUAAAGGUAACAUAUUUUAUCAUUUAAAGGGAUUUGAGAAAUUGAAGAGGCCCAACUCUUUUUCUGCCUUCUUUGGUUUGAGGCUUAGAUUGCUUAAGGGGCUUGCCCAGGAUCACAUAUCUUGUAAGAGACAGAGCAAGGAUUCAAAGCCAGUGCUGGCUUCUGUGUCUCCAUUCUUUCCAUUCUCCUCCAGUGGCUCUUUUGGGAAGCUGAGGGAGGAACAGCAGCAGAAUUGGGUGGCACCUGCCCAUGCCCAUCAUGC